RNAcentral lists this unclassified non-coding RNA (196 nucleotides) under uncultured Pezizales. RNAcentral's name for it is "sequence contains ITS2". Lineage: Eukaryota; Fungi; Ascomycota; Pezizomycetes; Pezizales. The record is from RNAcentral.
AAAACCCCCUCACAGAUAAUGUGGUAUUGGUAGAAGUGAACGGUACUUACAUUACCUUGUCUCACUCUGCUGGAAUAAAUAGGCCAGAGAAGUGGACCCAUGGUAAUUGACUCCAGGAGUGUUUUUCAAUGCUAAACUAGUCUUUACCCAAGUCAGGUUCUGAGCUACUGGACCCCCAUUAAGUCCAAAACAAAGU